RNAcentral lists this long non-coding RNA (1234 nucleotides) under Triticum aestivum (bread wheat). RNAcentral describes it as "long non-coding RNA (TAES_LNC014503)". Lineage: Eukaryota; Viridiplantae; Streptophyta; Magnoliopsida; Poales; Poaceae. The record is from RNAcentral.
CCUGGAUGGUCAAUAAGGGGAUGAUGCCAAUUAGUCUGGAUUCUGGAACAAUGCUAACAUUCAAAUCCUUGACGUGUUGGUGCAUCCGUGCUUUGAUAAAAAAACAAUUAGGUAUGCUUCUCAGUUCUCACUACCUCUGCGUGAAAACCAAAAUUACAAAUCAUUAUUUGUUAUUUCCAACUAUUUUUUGUGGCUGAUUGGACAAUAUUUCCGUUUCUAACUUCCUUCCUUCGAAUGACUUGCCAAUGAUCUUUCACAAUUUUAUAGUGUUUACUUUAUUUCUGUAACUGAUAUCCUUUAAAUUCAAUUUGUUUUAAAGGUUCACCAUGUUUCUUUAACAAAAUUUAUCCAGUGAAUUGGUAUGUCUGCUCCACUGGGCAGCAGCUGCAACCUUUCAACUUUGGCUCUUGCACCAUUGUUUCAUAGGUGUAUGCUCUAUUUUCCUGUCUAGUCAUUUGGUCUUUAUAUUCAGCUUGUGUUUGUCAAGAGCUUAUUCGGUCAAAGGUUAUAAGAGAUAUGACAGUGCCUUUGUUGCGCUAAGGAAUAUGGGGUCAUGAAAAAUCAAGGUUUGUUCUUGCUCCAUUAUGUUUCCCACCAAUUGUUUUGUUAUACACCUUGUUCUUACUACUUGCAUGUGACAGCCGGAGCAGUAGGCAAAAUUCUAUUUCUUCUUCUAGAUUGCUAUACCAUUGUACAAGAAUCAGAAUAUCAGUGCAAUUGUGCCUUUUCAGUCCAUAUUUAACAAUGACAAAAAAUUAUUUUCCUUUCGUUUCUGUUUCACUUGUGUCUGCACCGGAGAAUGUUCAUCCUUGCCUUCCAUCACUGGAGAAUAUUCAUCCUUACUCACUUGGCCUACUGUAACAAUGCUAAUUUCUCUGCCAUCUAAUUGCUCCAUACACUUAGUUUGUUUAUAUCUAGAGUUCACAUAGGGAUUAGUAAACAAAUAGUCUUUUUUAAUCAAACGGCCAUGCAGGUUUGAGCAAGCUCAAAGUAGGCUGGGGAGGAUGACCAAUGAUUAUACUGAUGUUGGUCAAAGCCAUAUUUUUUGUGCAGGUCCUAGCGAGCUCAUCGCCCACGUAAAAUAUUCCUUGAUGGUGGUCCAUAUUUUUUGUGCAUAUUUAGCUCAGUAUUCGGCCAAACACUUUAACUUGUAUAUCGUAAGAAAGAAAAUGUACAAUUUUUUACUGAGAAGCAGUAAAUCUCUUGAUUACUAAAAUUGUCAGACACCUUUGUG